CAGUGUGUAUGUGCUAAGUCGCUUCAGUCAUGUCCGACUCUUUGCAGCCCUAUGGACUGUGGCCUGCCAGGCUCCUCUGUCCUUGGAGUUUUCCAGUGCCUCUGGUUGAAUUGACCAUCGUGUCACUAAAGCCACCUCGGAUGAGAGGAAAAGGGGAACCUGUAGGAAGGUCUCUGAGGAGGACUGCUCAGUUGGUAAAGAAUCCACCUGCAAUGCAGGAGACCCCGGUUCAAUUCCUGGGUCGGGAAGAUCUGCUGGAGAAGGG
Long non-coding RNA from Bos taurus (domestic cattle), 265 nucleotides. The record is from Ensembl. NCBI's taxonomy places the organism in Eukaryota, Metazoa, Chordata, Mammalia, Artiodactyla, Bovidae.